GACGAACGCUGGCGGCAUGCCUAAUACAUGCAAGUCGAGCGGACAGAAGGGAGCUUGCUCCCGGAAGUCAGCGGCGGACGGGUGAGUAACACGUGGGCAACCUGCCCCUUAGAUUGGGAUAACUUCGGGAAACCGAAGCUAAUACCGAAUAAUACAAGGAACCUCCUGGUUCUCUGUUGAAAGAUGGCCUUUGUGCUGUCACUAAGGGAUGGGCCCGCGGCGCACUAGCUAGUUGGUAAGGUAACGGCUUACCAAGGCGACGAUGCGUAGGCGACCUGAGAGGGUGAUCGGCCACACUGGGACUGAGACACGGCCCAGACUCCUACGGGAGGCAGCAGUAGGGAAUCUUCCGCAAUGGACGAAAGUCUGACGGAGCAAUGCCGCGUGAGUGAGGAAGGCCUUCGGGUCGUAAAGCUCUGUUGUGAGGGAAGAACAAGUACCGGCGUAACUACCGGUACCGUGACGGUACCUCACCAGAAAGCCACGGCUAACUACGUGCCAGCCGCCGCGGUAA
RNAcentral lists this ribosomal RNA (514 nucleotides) under uncultured bacterium. RNAcentral describes it as "partial 16S ribosomal RNA". It matches the Rfam family "Bacterial small subunit ribosomal RNA", at positions 28 to 523 of the family's 1533-position model. The record is from RNAcentral.